Molecule: ribosomal RNA, 130 nt
Filed under: uncultured bacterium
Lineage: Bacteria
Description: partial 16S ribosomal RNA
Rfam family: Bacterial small subunit ribosomal RNA
Source: RNAcentral
GCCGCGUGAGCGAUGAAGGAUUUCGGGGUGUAAAGCUCUUUUUCAGGGAAGAUAAUGACGGUACCUGACUAAGAAGCGCCGGCUAAAUACGUGCCAGCCGCCGCGGUAAUCUAGCCAGCCGCCCGGUAAU